AACCAAAUUUUUCAUAGAAUCCACACCCAGUGGUUACUCCAGCAACAUAAGAAUCUACAUUUGUAGAAGCACCCUAUUAUGAUGUACCCUAUUCACCAUAUCAACCUUCUUCUAGGACCUAUAGCCCAUUAUUUGAAGAGCAGGUUCAGCAAGCAUUAGAUAGGCUAGAACUCAACCAUCAAACCCUUCACUCCUAUAUGCAAUCUUUAGCCAAACUAGAAAUUCAAGUCGAUCAAUCAGUAAUCACAAUCAGUGGGAAGGAGAAAGGAGAGCUUCCUAGUCAACCUGAGAGUAAACCAGAGGGAUACUACCUAGCUAAAAGUUUUCAUGUCCCUAUAAAUUUUUCUGAACAAUCGAUUAUGACUCUUGAAAAUGAAAUGAUCGUAGAACAACCCUACACAACCAAAAUGAUCAACACAAAUAAUUUGACUAAGGCAGAAAUUUAUAUGGAGAAAUUAGACUAGUGGGAUGAACCAAUUCCAUCACCCUACUUACCUAUGACCCCCUUCCCAAGUGCCCUAGAAUCACCCACUCCUUUUUAUAGGAAGGAUAGAUAAAUAGGUGAAAUGCUGGAAUUAGUUGAGACUUCUCAAGAACCACAAAUGGAUAACACUAUAGGGGAAGCUGCACCCAUAAUUCUUUCCUAAGACUCAUUAGAUCCCU
RNAcentral lists this long non-coding RNA (663 nucleotides) under Elaeis guineensis (African oil palm). RNAcentral's name for it is "long non-coding RNA (EGUI_LNC068841)". The record is from RNAcentral. Lineage: Eukaryota; Viridiplantae; Streptophyta; Magnoliopsida; Arecales; Arecaceae.